This 30-nucleotide non-coding RNA is filed under the name Homo sapiens (human). Lineage: Eukaryota; Metazoa; Chordata; Mammalia; Primates; Hominidae. The record is from RNAcentral.
AGAAGGCGAUACUGGAGAAAUAGGAUCUCA